UACGGAGGGUGCGAGCGUUGUUCGGAAUUACUGGGCGUAAAGGGGGCGUAGGCGGUUUGUUAAGUCAAGUGUGAAAGUCCACGGCUUAACUGUGGAAGUGCAUUUGAGACUGGCAGGCUAGAGUUUCGGAAGGGAAAGUGGAAUUCCUGGUGUAGGGGUGAAAUCCGUAGAUAUCAGGAGGAAUACCGGUGGCGAAGGCGACUUUCUGGACGAAUACUGACGCUGAGGCCCGAAAGCGUGGGGAGCAAACAGG
Molecule: ribosomal RNA, 253 nt
Filed under: uncultured bacterium
Lineage: Bacteria
Description: partial 16S ribosomal RNA
Rfam family: Bacterial small subunit ribosomal RNA
Source: RNAcentral